This 484-nucleotide ribosomal RNA is filed under the name uncultured Lachnospiraceae bacterium. RNAcentral's name for it is "partial 16S ribosomal RNA". Lineage: Bacteria; Bacillati; Bacillota; Clostridia; Lachnospirales; Lachnospiraceae. The record is from RNAcentral.
CACGUAGUUAGCCGGGGCUUCUUAAUCAGGUACCGUCAUCUUCUUCCCUGCUGAUAGAGCUUUACAUACCGAAAUACUUCUUCACUCACGCGGCGUUGCUGCAUCAGGGUUUCCCCCCAUUGUGCAAUAUUCCCCACUGCUGCCUCCCGUAGGAGUUUGGGCCGUGUCUCAGUCCCAAUGUGGCCGGUCACCCUCUCAGGUCGGCUACUGAUCGUCGCUUUGGUGGGCCGUUACCCCGCCAACUGGCUAAUCAGACGCGGGUCCAUCUUAUACCACCGGAGUUUUUCACACUGUACCAUGCAGUACUGUGCGCUUAUGCGGUAUUAGCUAGUCAUUUCUAACUGUUAUCCCCCUGUAUAAGGCAGGUUACCCACGCGUUACUCACCCGUCCGCCGCUCAGUCCAGAUAACAUUACCCGUCGAAAACUUCAUGUUAAAUGCUUCGCUCGACUUGCAUGUGUUAGGCACGCCGCCAGCGUUCAUCC